Molecule: non-coding RNA, 3164 nt
Organism: Ictidomys tridecemlineatus (thirteen-lined ground squirrel)
Lineage: Eukaryota; Metazoa; Chordata; Mammalia; Rodentia; Sciuridae
Source: RefSeq, a predicted model, not a curated record
UUCGCGGCGCCGGAAGGGGAAGUUUCGUUUCAGAACGCUGCCUCGCUCGUCCGAAUUCGGUGGCGCCACGUCUGCCGGUCUCCGCCUUCUGCACCGCGGUUUCGGCGGCUUCCGCCUCGACACCUUCCACUCACUGAGCCGGCCGCGUAGUGAGGGUGCCCGCACGGACAGACCCGCGGCUGUGCGCAUCCUGGCGACUUGAGAGGCCAAGAUGUCGGACAUCGGGGACUGGUUCAGGAGCAUCCCGAUCAUCACGCGCUACUGGUUCGCUGCCACCGUCGCGGUCCCCUUGGUCGGCAAACUCGGCCUCAUCAGCCCAGCCUACUUCUUCCUCUGGCCCGAAGCUUUCCUCUAUCGCUUCCAGAUUUGGAGGCCAAUCACUGCCACCUUUUAUUUUCCUGUGGGUCCAGGAACUGGAUUUCUUUAUUUGGUCAAUUUGUAUUUCUUAUAUCAGUAUUCUACACGACUUGAAACAGGAGCAUUUGAUGGGAGGCCGGCAGACUAUUUAUUCAUGCUUCUCUUUAACUGGAUUUGCAUCGUGAUUACUGGCUUAGCAAUGGAUAUGCAAUUGCUGAUGAUUCCUCUGAUCAUGUCAGUACUUUAUGUCUGGGCCCAGCUGAACAGAGACAUGAUUGUAUCAUUUUGGUUUGGAACACGAUUUAAGGUACUUUACCUUAGUUGGAAAAACUUCCUUUUCAUUUGUCUUUGCAGAAAUCUCUUCAGCCAAGAGAUGUACUUUCUGACUCGUCCAGAAGAGGUCACUGCAGAGCAGUAUACCAUAGGCCUGUUAUUUACCCUGGGUUAUCCUUGGAUUCAACUAUAUCAUUGGAGGCUCGGUAAUCAAUGAGCUAAUUGGAAAUCUUGUUGGACAUCUUUAUUUCUUCCUGAUGUUCAGAUACCCAAUGGACUUGGGAGGAAGAAAUUUUCUAUCCACACCUCAGUUUUUGUACCGCUGGCUGCCCAGCAGGAGAGGCGGGGUGUCAGGAUUCGGUGUGCCCCCUGCUAGCAUGAGGCGAGCUGCUGAUCAAAAUGGCGGAGGUGGUAGACACAACUGGGGCCAGGGCUUUCGACUUGGAGACCAGUGAAGGAGUGGCAUCUGGCCUGCCCACCAGCCGUUCCACUCAGGCAACGUUUCUUCCCACUGCUGGGUGCGCUUAACAACACCGAGUCUAGCUAACGCUGUUGGACCUGACCCACACUGAAUGUAGUCUUUCAGUAUGAGACAAAUUUUUUUAAAUCCUGAAGGAAAAUACAAGUGUUCCUCAAGUUUCAUGAUUCUCAUUGAAGUCCUUACUGCUAUGAAGAACAAAUAUCAACUGUGCAGAUUUCAAAAUUGACUAUUUUUUUGGUGUGUUUUCUUCCUUUUCUGUCUGAAUAAUGGGCUUUAGCGGUUCCCAGUCUGCUGGCACCGAGUUGGGCACCUGGGGUGGGGUUACCAAACCCUGUGAAAAGGAUUCUUGUCUCUUUCUUGCACACACACCUCCCUUCUACUUUUCCCAAUCCCCUAAAGUUUCAGCUAGUGGGGUUGCCCAUAAAAUGGUUCUGCCUUUGGCAGACUCUUAUUUAUUGACUUUGCCAAGGCUUGGUCACAAAGAACUUGUUCACAGUUAUUUUCCCCUUUGGUGGCAGAACUGUGACAAUAGGGAGAAUACUGAAGCAGUGGAUAAAAAACUUUCUUAGCUUUGGGGAUUGUGCCAGCCUGACAGCCACAGUAACCAUUAGCCACCUCUUCAGGUGUUCUUAAUGAAACACCACGGAGUCAGGAUGGGCCCAUAUUGCUAUUAAUGAGGAUUGAGGGUUAUAACUAGGCAGUUUUCUAAUUAAGUGAUCAAAAUUUUAGUGGAGUUGCUUCUGACACAGGAGUUCAUUUUAAACUAUGGUGAACACAAUCCUUUUGUGUUUCCUCUGCAGGGCAUAUUGGCUUUGUGUACCCAGAGUCAUUGGGUUGUUAUAUAGGGAGGUUUCAAAUCACAUUGGCCACAGGGAGAUGCUCCCUUUGAGAGGCUCCUGGGCAUUGAUUCCAUUUCAUUCUUAUUCUGGAUGUAUGUUCAUUGAAGUGCCCUAUUAAAAUUGUCUUUCUUUUUUUUUUUGCCCUUUGCCCUUUCUUCAUCAAGUGUUUCAGUUAAUUGUGAGAAAAGUGCAGCUCUUCUGUAUGUAAAUCGUUUUUUAAAGCUAAUAUAUAAGCACAUCUAAGUGAAUCACUCAUAAUUUGAGGUGUAAUGGCUUUAGAGUCAUUUGCAUUUGAAGGUCUUUAUUAUUUUUUGAGUCUGGAAUAUACAGACAGUGUGAAUCAGACCAGCUUGAAUACCCACGACAACUCCUUCAUAGGUGAGCUUUUACCAUCAGAGCUCGGCUCAUCAACAAAUAAAAGUUUUUGUAGGCUGCAGUGUUUCAUAGUUUGUUUUUAUUCUGAAAGCAUACAGCUAGGAGCAUGGUGAGUGGCUGCCAUACUUUGAGUCAGCUAAAAAGAUUUUGGACAUUUUGAUCAGCUUCUUUUCAGGAAAAGUACCCUAACAGUAUGGCUCCUUCCCCCAUCCCCAUUCUUAUUAAACUGUGAUGUGUGUUAUAAUAGGAAAUAGGAGUUUGCAAAGAGCUCCUCAUUUUUAAUAAAGUUUGUGUGUACCUUUCCAUAUUUAAUUUAUAUGAUAAAAUAGUAGGUGGAGAGAGUCUGCACCUAAACUGUCAAAUGUCCUGCUGUUGACCUGUGGCCACAAUAAAAUUUACUUGUAAAGUUUUAGAAGCCAUCACUCCUAUUAUAUCGCUUGGGCACUCACUGCAGGAGUGGAAACUUGUGUGUGUACGAUUCUAAUGGUAAGUGAACCAGGGGUUCAGUGCCCCCAUAUCAACCUAUUUGCUUGAGAGCAGUAGUUUUUCUAAAGGUCUAUAAGUUUUUGGAAUUCUUCAGUUGAAGGCAAAAUGUACUUUGAAUGAAAUUUUAUCUCAAACAUAGGAAGCUGAUAAUUUGAUUGCCUUUGAUGGGAUUACCUAUCUUUCUGGGAUAAUUUUACCAAAAUAAAUUAGUUUUGACUUGGCAAGGUAAGACAUGACAGUAGAUUCUCUUUAUGAAUGGAAAACAAAAAUCCUUAUUUUGUAUAGAUGGUAUCCCUUUUUGUAUCUAAUCCUUUUUAUUGGUAUAAAUUGUAAAUUAAAAUGUACAAUUUGAA